Molecule: ribosomal RNA, 62 nt
Filed under: Hepatozoon griseisciuri
Lineage: Eukaryota; Apicomplexa; Hepatozoidae
Description: large subunit ribosomal RNA
Source: RNAcentral
GGACUGCUUGUGUUAACAUGUUCAGUCAAGAAGGCAACAGCCUCGAUGGAAUCAUUAUGCCC